RNAcentral lists this ribosomal RNA (795 nucleotides) under Triticum aestivum (bread wheat). Its description in RNAcentral is "partial small subunit ribosomal RNA". Lineage: Eukaryota; Viridiplantae; Streptophyta; Magnoliopsida; Poales; Poaceae. The record is from RNAcentral.
AUGAGGCUGCUCUCUUCCGCUUCCACGAUCUGCAAGAAGUGGUGCCGUCUUGUCACCGAUCGCUGCUUCCUCGGACGCCCCUGGCCAGGGUACUCCCCAUCGUCUUUCGUUGCCUUCUUCACCGAGGGAAAUCGCCAUGAGGAACUGGACGCAGGGUGUUUGCCUGGCCCGGAGCCAUGCUUCAUCCCGGCACGGCGAUCUGCUCUGGGCCCUUGCCGCCACUCCUUGGGAUCCUUUGUGACCCCAUCCCACGCCGGCCUCUUCAGCGCCGUGUUGCCGCUCAUCUCACGCCACGACCUUGUUGUUGUGCGUCUUGAAGCACACGACACCACCGGCUAUCCGGACAAGACCAUCUUUCAAUUGGGUGUAUGCAACCUGCAUGCAGCCACGUGCGUCAUGCUCCGUCCUCUAAAAGUUAGCCCAAUCUUCUACGACUACGACUGUAAUGCCUAUGCCAUUCUGACCAGUGUAGAUUGUUGCUCAAAAGAUGCGUUAACACCUACGGUGCCGCCGAGCAACCCUUCAUCUUUCUUCCAAGUGGUCAUCAUCGGAUAUACCGGUGAUGACUUCAAGUACAAUCUCCAUAUGUUCUCGUCCGACAAAUCAAGUGGGCACAAACGUACCAAUUGCUUCGACAGUGAUGCGCAGUCAUACGACUAUGGGUCGUUUAGCGAUGCCAUUGUGCACAGUGGCUUGGCACACUGGAUAUUUCAUAAUUAUGGAGAAGGGUGCCUUCAAGUCAUUAAUUUUUGGAUGCUAAGACAGGCAAUAUCUCCUUCACGAAACUGCCUUUGA